UGUAGGAGUGAGCCUGCUCGCGAUAGCGGUGUGUCAGCCAAAAAGUUGCCAACUGAUAGACCGCUAUCGCGAGCAGGCUCACUCCUACA
RNAcentral lists this unclassified non-coding RNA (89 nucleotides) under Pseudomonas helmanticensis. Lineage: Bacteria; Pseudomonadati; Pseudomonadota; Gammaproteobacteria; Pseudomonadales; Pseudomonadaceae. The record is from RNAcentral.